Molecule: transfer RNA, 102 nt
Filed under: Verticillium nonalfalfae
Lineage: Eukaryota; Fungi; Ascomycota; Sordariomycetes; Glomerellales; Plectosphaerellaceae
Description: tRNA-Ala
Rfam family: tRNA
About the family: Transfer RNA (tRNA) molecules are approximately 80 nucleotides in length. Their secondary structure includes four short double-helical elements and three loops (D, anti-codon, and T loops).
Source: RNAcentral
GGGCGAUUGGUUUAGUGGUAUAACGUCUGCUUAGCAUCGAGGAUUUGUUGUUACAACACCAGUGCUUGCUGAAGGUCGCGCGUUCGAUUCGCGCAUUGUCCA